UACGGGGGGGGCAAGCGUUGUUCGGAAUUACUGGGCGUAAAGGGUUUGUAGGUGGCUUGUUAAGUCAGACGUGAAAUCCCUCAGCUUAACUGGGGAACUGCGUCUGAUACUGGCGAGCUUGAGUGCAGGAGAGGAACGCGGAAUUCCAGGUGUAGCGGUGAAAUGCGUAGAUAUCUGGAGGAACACCGGUGGCGAAGGCGGCAUCCUGGACCGAGAUUGACGCUGAUGCGCGAAAGCCAGGGGAGCAAACGGG
RNAcentral lists this ribosomal RNA (253 nucleotides) under uncultured bacterium. Its description in RNAcentral is "partial 16S ribosomal RNA". It matches the Rfam family "Bacterial small subunit ribosomal RNA", at positions 524 to 776 of the family's 1533-position model. The record is from RNAcentral.